UUUUUUUUCCAAGAAACACCACGAGCAACACCCAAUUCAAACGGACCUUUAAUCAUAUUUUCUAUUAAGUAGAUGUUUGCUUUCUUUAUUCCUUUAUCUUGAUUGGCUGUUAAGAACACUGCUGCAUCAUAUACUUGCAUCAAUUGUGGACGAAGGACUUCAGUUCCAUAUCGUGCACAAGGCUUUCUCCUUUUUUUCUGUGUAAAAAAAAGCAUUAAUGUAAAGUUUAAAUUGUAGUCACCUUAGCUAGCAAGUAGGUCUGCAGGGUAGAAUUGUACGUGUUCAAAUUCCAUUGUCUGUACACUUGUCCCGUGUUGAUGUGGUGAACUAAUUUAGAUUCCUAAAUUAAGAUAUUAGCAAGGUCAUAUGUUUUGCUCAUAAGAGUUUAGAUGGACUUAGCAGCAUCAAUUAAGUGAAUUUACAGAAAUCAUAGUCUUAUAGAGAGUGGAAAUUUUGGGUGGAAUGUAGUGAGGAUGUAAAUCUUUGUCUUGCUUUCCUUUUCCCCAAGUCCAGUCUCCUAUUUCCUAUGAUCAAAACACUUAAAUUAUAUGAAGUUUCUCCUCAAUAAUCCUUUCCUUUGUUUCUCAAUAUAUUUCUUUGACUUGUAUCAUCCUUUAUACUUCCUUUUUGAACUAAUAUAUAGGUCUAGUUAUCUCUUAUAGCGAUACCAGUCCUCUGAUACCAGAUUUUGGAUCCAGUGAGUACAAGUUUUUCGAUGGGACUUAGCUAACUAUAUUUUGGAUGUCUUUGUUCUUUGUUCUAUUCUAAUUGCAUGCUGCUAUUUAUCGGCAUUGACUAAUGCAGAAAUGCAGAUUUAUUUAUAGAGAGUUGCCAUCCCAAGUAGCUCAAUCGUGGAGGAUGGAGAUGGGUGGAAUACUUAAAGGCAAUCCAGUUCCAGUUUAAUAGAUGCAAUGCUUUUAGGCCUACUUGAGCUAUGCGAGAUGUAAAUGGAUAAGAUAAGCUCAUACUUCUUUGAUGCACAAUUCUGGUAUGAUGCAACUCAACUGGACAGCAGGAAAGACCUGGAGUUUGCAGCAUUACAAUUUACCCAUUUCGGGCAAUUCAAUGGAAGAACCAAAGAGAUAUGUUUGCAGUGGACAAGUUGUUGAAUCUGCCAAGUCUUCUGCAUCUGUCUCAUCAUGCUGCUUGUUGCUAAAGAAGGGUUGCUGCAAGCUGACUGAUGUUGGAAAGGAGCUGAAUGGAGGAAAUGGAAGUAAAAAGGGGAAUAAGUCCUUGAAAAAGGAAGAAUUGAUUUAUCUUGUAACCAUGAUUGCUUGUGCCUGAAAAUCUAGGUUUUCCUAGAAGAGUCUUGGUAGAUAAUACUGUAUAGAGGAGAACAUCGAGAAAAGUACAAAACCUGUUGGCCUUCCUUGUCAAAAUUGUACUAUGUGGCCAAGUUGAGUUGCUGCAGACCCAUGUGUUGGUGAUGCUAAACUGGGAUGAAUUGGAUUAGUUUUAUUCCAAGACUUCUUCCUUCCCUGCACUACAUCUUGGUUGAUGAACGAAGAGUCUCAUGCUGUAGCUUUUCUGCUGAUUAUGGUUUUGAUUCAUAACUAAAAGAAUUCAUGGUUUAAGACAAAAAGUGCUGAAGCAGCUGAGCAAAAGUUGUUGCAAUGACAGGAAUGUAGCUUUUGACCAGAAGAUGAUGAAGAUGCCUAAAACUGAUAGGAUUCGAGUGAUCAGCUAUAGGGAAACUGGAAAGUGUUGCUGAACUCAGCAUGGAUAUCUUGAUGCAAUGUGCUUGAAGCUUUGUGUACUGCAACAGCCAAAAAGAAUGUAGAGAGAAGAUCCAUAAGAGAGUAACACUAAAGAUCCAUAAGAGUAGAUCAAGUGGUCAUUAGCCCCUGGAAAAGAAAAACGCGAGCGGCCCGGGUUUUGAUGGUCAUGAUUCCCUUAAGAAUGUAGGGGUUCUGGUUUUUGUGGAAAACCACGAAUGUUGUGCUCUAGAUGCAACGGCAUAAACCAUGCCAUCCAAAGAUCCUCUUACAUGUUGGAUGAUUGUUGGUCACGUAAAGAACAAGUUUGCAAAAUUCAUCUGUAGAUAUGGAGUAUAUGCAGUUUGCAGAUGCAAAAUAUUUGAAAUCAAGGGACAAUUCAUUGAGAAAACUCUUCAUGUACUUCGGUUGCCGACCUGUCGAGGGAGGACGGAUGCAUUAUUAUCUUAAACAGCUAUCCUUGGAGUUUCUGGUUGCAAUUUGCAAGCACGAUAAUCUCACGGAGUGACUCCUAUCAAAUCAUUUUUUAAACAGGUUUGGUAUUUUAUGCUUAACCAAAUGUAUUGGAGUUGAAUUAUUAAGCACAAAGUUCAACGUUUAUGGAACUAGGGAUAAUAUUCUUCUGUCAUAUCUUGUACUAAUGCGUUGGUGUUUAAUGCCAAAAGGCUUGACAACUGACAUUAAUGAUGUGGAGGAGGGAACAGAACAUUUCAUGACUAGUGGCUGCAGAUUGAGAAAGAUGCCUUUCUCAUCUUUUUCAGUACACAUCGUCUGCGUUCUCCUCCUCCUUGACAGAAACCAUUGUUGCUUCCACUUAAUUAGAAUGAGCAAUAGUGGCAUGAUUAGGGAAAAA
Non-coding RNA from Coffea arabica (coffee), 2568 nucleotides. Lineage: Eukaryota; Viridiplantae; Streptophyta; Magnoliopsida; Gentianales; Rubiaceae. The record is from RefSeq and is a predicted model, not a curated record.